GUUCUUACCAGAGAAGGUUCAUCCAAAGUGACUGUAGAUCCUCACCUGUCAAGUGGAUAUUCAAGGGUCUUGCAAGGUCAAGAAUUCUCGACCUUGAGAGGCAAUUUUGCUGAGAGCAAUGAAUCUGAUACUGCUGAAAAAUCUGUAGUGUGGCCAUCUUCCAUAGAUGAUGAGAAGAUUGAUGUGGUAUCUGCUUCAAGAAGACACGGAUCAGAGAACUGGAUGCCCUCUGGGUGGCAGAAGCCAACCUACACAGAUUUGUUAUCAGGCUUUGGGGCACAUGCUAAUUUCUCGCAUGGGUUUGGUGAACCCUUUGUUGAUCAAACUGCAACAGCUGCUAGUAGAAAACUUGUAUUAGAUCAGGAAGGCAAGUUUAACUAUCUUCCUAGUCCAUGGUCGUUGAUGUCAUCAGGCCUCUCCCUCAAGUUAUCAGAGUCUAAUUCAAAGGUUCCUGUAAAAGGUUGUGAUAUAUCUUUUGAAGCACGAGGAAAUGUCAAGUGUAGUGCGUUUAAUGAGUAUCCGAAGCUUAAUGGUCGUAGAGUUGAGCAGUCUCAUGGAAACUGGUUAAUGCCCCUCCCACCACCAUCUCAUUUUGAUAGUCAUGCUCAUGCAAGAGAGUUGGCGCCAAAACCUAUUUUGGUACAAGAACAAGAGACUGGGAAAUCCACAGAUGGAAAGUGUAAGCUGUUUGGCAUUCGCUUGUUUAGUAAUCCUGUUGCGCCAGAACCAGUAGCUUUGCAUAGAAACACUUUCAAUGAGCCAGCUAGUUGUAUACAUACCCAGAGUGACCAGCUUCAUGUAUUGGACUCUGAUCAAAGGUUAGAACAUUCCAAGUUUUCUAAAAUGACUGAUGAUAAUGAACAGGAGAAACAGUCGCAAGCUGGACUAC
RNAcentral lists this unclassified non-coding RNA (889 nucleotides) under Hevea brasiliensis (rubber tree). The record is from RNAcentral. Lineage: Eukaryota; Viridiplantae; Streptophyta; Magnoliopsida; Malpighiales; Euphorbiaceae.